This 4725-nucleotide long non-coding RNA is filed under the name Sus scrofa (pig). Its description in RNAcentral is "lncRNA (ENSSSCG00050007396.1)". Lineage: Eukaryota; Metazoa; Chordata; Mammalia; Artiodactyla; Suidae. The record is from RNAcentral.
UUCCUUACCUCAUUUCUUCAUUCAAAAAAAGUAAUGAUAAUGUUAUUUUAAGUUGUAAAGAUAAGCUAAGUCAUAACCAAUACUUUUUAAUACUUAAAUUAUUAAAUAUAUAAAAUUUACUCACUCAUAAAUGAAUAGUGUGGUUGAAGAUGGUGUAUAGAUAUUAUAAAACCAAAUAUUUUGUUUUCAAAAUUAAACUUUAAUAGAAUCGUAAGAUUUUCUACCACAAUUUUUGCCAUUCUUUUGUCUUACUUUUCAUAUUUAAACAUGAUAUUCACCUCCAAAUGUGCAAGACUAGGAGAACCUUAUGAUUAGUAUUAUAUUUUUUUAUCCUAGUUUCAAAGAUAAUAAUAGAAAGAUUACUCAGAAAGAUAAGACCUAAAAAGACCUAUUAUUUUAGAUUAGAUUAAUUAUAUUAAAUAUACUAGUGACAACAAAAUGUUAAACAUAUGGAAAAGAAAUUUUAUAUCAUGGGAACAUCUUCAAAGGAGUAUAUAAUAUGCAUAAAAAUAUGAAAUAGUUAUAACCUCUUCAGUGUCCCCUUGGUAAGAGAGUGCCAUGUAUUUAGGAAAGUUACCUCCUUUAUUUGAAAGAAAUCCAAUAAAAUUCUUUGGUUCUAAUAGAUAUAUUCUUAUAAUAAAUGAGUAUUUCUAUUAAGGUAUACUAAUACAUAUUUCUUUGUAAUAAGUGAGUAUUUCUAUGUAUUAAGUCGGUUCAUUACUUCAGUGCAUUAAAUGCAAGAGAGUUUAGGUGUUUAAGGGAAACACACAAAUACAUUUUAAAUAUAUACACUUCGGGAAAGGGUUGAUAACAAGUAAUAGCAGAAAGUAGUUUGGGAAUAAACAUGGUACUCAAUCAUGCAUAAUAUCGUGUACAGUUAUGCUAUGCUCAUUCUACUUUCUGAUUACCAUUCUGAUUAACACUUUCCGUAACUACUUUCUGUAUAUAAGACCACGCUGGGACUAAUGCUGGAAUCCAUGAAGACAGCCUAAAAAAAAAAGCAAUGGAGGAGAAAAGAAGAAAAACAAAGAGGGAAAGAAAGAGAGAGAAAGAAAGAGAAAGAAAGAGGGAAAGAGAUAAAGAAAAAGGAAGGAAGGGAGGAAGGAAGAAAGGAAGAAAGAAAGGAAGAAAGGAAGGAAGAAAGAAAGAAAGAGAAAGAAAAGAAAGGAAGAAUGGAAGGAAGGAAGGAAGAAAUGCUCGUGUAUUAUUUUUUACAUUAAUAAAUGUAGGUUGGUGACUACUUUAUUUAAUUUUUUUCAAUAAUUUUAAUUUAAAAUAUAAAAUUUUAUUCAUUUUCACAAGCAAUUAAAGGAGCAUCAUUUUACUCUUUACUGUUAUAAAAAUCAUAAGAGAAGAUUAUUUUCACAGAGUAUCUGAACAUUAUUAUUUCUUGUUUGAUGAAAGAUAAUACAUUAACUGAUAAAUCAGGAAGUGUCUUAUAUAAAUAUAACCCAGUUUAAGCACAGAAUUCUUAGCCAUUUUGAUUUGAUAUAAUAGGUACAAAUAAUUUAAAUAGAAAAGAUAUCAAUAGUUUAGUGUAAUUAAUAGAAAUCAUCUUUGAAAAAAAUUUGAAGGGCUAUUGUCAUUUGCAAAACUAUGAGAGAUGGAGUGCCAAGGAAAAUAAGCAACGGUAUUCAGGUUAUGAUAUUACAAAUACGAAUUUUCAAGAAGAUAUUAGAUUUGAAACCAAACGUGCCUGAGGAAGAAAUUAGUUUUUAAAUAAUUUUACCUUCCAUUUUAACCAUCAAAGACUUAAACUCUAAACUAGAUAGUGGUAGGAAGCCCUGGGCUGAUAGGAGGAAAUAAACAGACACUCAGAAUCCUGGGCACUAUAGAACAAAUAUCAGGAAAGGAAUCUGGCAUAUAUAUGUCCUGAUUCCUUCUCUCUGGAUUUGGCCUUCAGUAGUGGAUGUGGUCAGUUUAUUGGUAAGGAAGCUGAGGAUGAGGAGCUCCUGUCCACUUCUCCAUUUGGGACACUUGGAAAAGUCCACUGUACAAAGAAGCCUAUGCCUCCAUGAGGUGGAGGGUUAUGGUUGUGGUUAUGGUUAAGGGGCCAUAAGUAAAUAGAGUCUGGAAUGAUCUCCCAAGGUUUUCGCUUCCUAAGUGGCAAGAGCCUGCUAUGAUAGAGUGGAGUGACUCGACCAAGGAUCCAAUCAGAAGAGUGGCAAAGAGUCUGCAAAGCAGCAAGGGCUGAGUAAGCAGGGAGCUGUUGAUUCAGUAAGGAAAAAUUGCAUUUUGUGUUCAUCAGCCCCAGAUGUCCGCAGCAAAUGCCAGCAGAAAAUCCUGAGAAAGGACCAGGCCAACCAAAUACUGCAGCAGACAAGGAACACCCACUCUGCAAUGGUCUGAAAACCGGUAAGCAUCUGAUGGAUCCAAAGACUCUUCCCUUUUCCCUUGUAUGUUCAUAAAAGUCCUCAAUUGGCUCUAUCCCCAAAGUCAGCCUAACACCAUUUUUGUGACUAUCAAGUGCGUGGGAAGAAUGAAAAUAAAAGUCAAACAGUCAUUUUCCAAAGAGUAAGUAUUUUCUUAAAGGACUGUUAAAAUUAUUGGAUUGGGUAGUUUUAAACCAAUUUGGAGUAAAUGUAGCUUUUUAUUUCCACUAAUCAUAAGAGAAGCCAGAACUAUUGUAGACAAAAUAAAACAAAGAAAUUGAUUUUUCUUGUUUCUCUGCUCAUGUGAGCAACAGUGGCAUCUCUGUGACACCAAUACAAGUGAGCAUAACAAGCAUUGAUGUUGCAAAGGUUAAAGAUUUAUGAAUUAGAAAACGGAACUACGAGGUAAUAAUUUUCAAUUUCUUUGCAUUUUACAUACAUAAAUUUUUUUUUAACAACACAGUUAUUAUUUUACAGCUGAGGCUAAUAAAGUUUAAGUGACGUACUUAGUCUUGAGCUUUAAAAUACUAACCUUGGCAUUCUUCGUAUAAAUUCUUCUGCUAGAUUAUGUGGUACCAAUCAAUAACUUCAUUUAUAUUCAUAUUUGAAUUAUAAUAACAUUAUUUAGGUAUGUGUACAUGUAUAAUUUAAGAUACAGGUUUAGUUAUGUUAUAUUUUUCUAUAAUAAAGUUUAUGGUUAAAAUCAAGAAUCUCUGCCUAUUAUUUGGUUCAGAAUAAGUAGUUGAGUACAGACAUGAGAAAUUGAUAUUGUAAUCAUUGGAAAAAGAGGAAUGUAAUUAUUUUAAUUCAAAAGGACUAUAAAGCUAACUUUUAUAAAAUUAUAUAAAAACAAAAAAAUGUACUUAUAUCUUUCCAAAAUUUGGAACAUAAUCAUAUGGGAAGAAGGAUGAACUGAAUUUAUCUGGAAGGUCUUCAAUUCCCUGCAAUAUUAGGAAGAUAACUCAUAAGCACACCAAAACUGUAAUAGUGCAAAUUUAAUACCCAGACUGCGUGGUGAAAAUAAAAACAAUCCCUAUUGAUUUCUUUAAAAUUUUAUUGGAGUAUAGUUUAUUUACAACAUUGUGUUAAUUUCUAGUGUACAGAAAAAUGAUUCAGUUGUACAUAUACAUGUAUCUAUACUUUUUCAAAUACUUUUCCCAUAUAGGUUAUUACAGAAUAUUGAUUAGAGUUCCCUAUGCUCUACAGUAGUUCCUUGUUGAUUAUCUCCUCUCUAUAUAGUAGUGAGUAUAUGUUAAUCUCAAACUCCUAAUAUAUCCCUUCCACCCACAUUCAUGUCCUCUUUUGUAACCAUAAAUUUGUUUUUGAAAUCUGUAAAUCUGUUUUUCUUUUGUAAAUAAGUUUAUUUGUAUCAUUUGAAAAUUAGAUUUCACAUGUAAGUGAUAUCACAUGAUAUUUCCCUUUGUCUAACUUACUUCACUUAGUUUGAUAAUCUCUAGGUCCACCCAUGUUGCUGAAAACGGUAUUUUUUGUUCUUUAUUAUGGCUGAGUAACAUUCCAUUGUACCACAUGUACCACUUCUUCUUUAUCCAUUUUCCUGUCAAUUGCCAUUGAGGUUGCUUCCAUGUCUUGGCUAUUGUAACUCAUAAAAUGACUCUUGAAAUAUUAUUCAUUCAUUUAAUCCUAUCUUACCACUAAAAGACUUCCUAAGUGGACAUGACAGCACAUCCCAAAGUUUCUACUAUUGUGAGGGAGCUCCUAUUUUGUAGUAUAAUUACUUUGCUAUAUUAUUGAUUGUCUCACAACUUAACACAUGUCUGUGAUAAAUAUGCCUUUAAGAUAGUAGGCAUUCAAUAAAAGUAUUUUAUAACAAUAAUGGUAACAAGUAUAACUGGCAUACAUAGGUUUAGAGCAAGUACUAAUUAUUCUUAAGUAUUUAAAUUCAUGGAAGUAGAAUAUCUAGGCAGAUUUUAAACUGGCCACAGCAUUCAAAGUGAUCUGGGUGUUUGUCAGUGCGUCUCUGAAAAAAGUGAAUAAUAUCUGUUAAAAGAGUGUAGAUUUUAUAUUUCACCUGUAUAUUUUAUACUAGUUUUAAUUGAAUUCAGUGUUUAAUAUAAUUAAGUCCCAUUUGUUUAUUUUUGGUUUUUAUUAUCUUCAUUACUCAAGAAAGAUUUUUUCAGAGUUCCCAUUGUGGCUCAGUGGGUUAAGAACCAACUAGUAUCCAUGAGGAUGCAGAUUCAAUCCCUCGCCUCACCUCCUGGGUGAAGGAUCCAGUGUUGCUGAAAGCUGUGUCAUGGGUCACAGAUGAGGCUCAGGUCUGGGUUGCUGUGGCUGUGGUAUAGGCUGGCAGCAGCUCCAUUUCAACCCCUAGCCUGGGAACUUCCAUAUGCCAUGG